RNAcentral lists this long non-coding RNA (255 nucleotides) under Homo sapiens (human). Its description in RNAcentral is "HSALNT0395714". Lineage: Eukaryota; Metazoa; Chordata; Mammalia; Primates; Hominidae. The record is from RNAcentral.
UGUGCGAGGGAGGCCGGGAGGGGUCCCUGGGCGGGGAGUUGCUGCGCAUCUGUUGUGUGUGUGCGUCUGUCUGUCUGUUCAGGCUGCGUCGGUCUGUCUGUCUGGGUCUGUUUCAGGCUGUGUCUGUCUGUCUGUCUGGGUCUGUUUCAGGCUGUGUCUGUCUGUCUGUCCGGGUCUGUUUCAGGCUGUAUGUGUGUCUGCUCUUUGCUUCUGCUCCUGGCUCUGUGUGUAUUUCCCGGGUCCUGUGGCCCUCUU